RNAcentral lists this ribosomal RNA (549 nucleotides) under uncultured bacterium. RNAcentral's name for it is "bacterial SSU rRNA". It matches the Rfam family "Bacterial small subunit ribosomal RNA", at positions 355 to 896 of the family's 1533-position model. The record is from RNAcentral.
UGGGGAAUUUUGGACAAUGGGCGCAAGCCUGAUCCAGCCAUGCCGCGUGUCUGAAGAAGGCCUUCGGGUUGUAAAGGACUUUUGUCAGGGAAGAAAAGGACAGGGUUAAUACCUCUGUUUGAUGACGGUACCUGAAGAAUAAGCACCGGCUAACUACGUGCCAGCAGCCGCGGUAAUACGUAGGGUGCGAGCGUUAAUCGGAAUUACUGGGCGUAAAGCGAGCGCAGACGGUUACUUAAGCAGGAUGUGAAAUCCCCGGGCUCAACCUGGGAACUGCGUUCUGAACUGGGUGACUAGAGUGUGUCAGAGGGAGGUAGAAUUCCACGUGUAGCAGUGAAAUGCGUAGAGAUGUGGAGGAAUACCGAUGGCGAAGGCAGCCUCCUGGGAUAACACUGACGUUCAUGCUCGAAAGCGUGGGUAGCAAACAGGAUUAGAUACCCUGGUAGUCCACGCCCUAAACGAUGUCAAUUAGCUGUUGGGCAACUUGAUUGCUUAGUAGCGUAGCUAACGCGUGAAAUUGACCGCCUGGGGAGUACGGUCGCAAGAUUA